This 253-nucleotide ribosomal RNA is filed under the name uncultured bacterium. Its description in RNAcentral is "partial 16S ribosomal RNA". It matches the Rfam family "Bacterial small subunit ribosomal RNA", at positions 524 to 776 of the family's 1533-position model. The record is from RNAcentral.
UACGUAGGGUGCGAGCGUUAAUCGGAAUUACUGGGCGUAAAGCGUGCGCAGGCGGCGCGUUAAGACAGGUGUGAAAGCCCCGAGCUUAACUUGGGAAUUGCGCUUGUGACUGGCGUGCUGGAGUGUGGCAGAGGGAGGUGGAAUUCCACGUGUAGCAGUGAAAUGCGUAGAGAUGUGGAGGAACACCGAUGGCGAAGGCAGCCUCCUGGGCCAGCACUGACGCUCAUGCACGAAAGCGUGGGGAGUAAACAGG